AUGCAUGUCUAAGUUCACACCCUUGUACGGUGAAACCGCGAAUGGCUCAUUAAAUCAGUCGAGGUUCCUUAGAUGAUCCCCAUCUACUUGGAUAACUGUGGUAAUUCUAGAGCUAAUACAUGGCUACCAGCUCCGACCCUCGUGGAAAGAGCGCUUUUAUUAGUUCAAAACCAGUCGGGCUCUCGGGUCCGUCCUUUGGUGACUCUGGAUAACUUUGUGCCGAUCGCAUGGCCUCGAGCCGGCGACGCAUCUUUCAAAUGUCUGCCCUAUCAAAUGACGAUGGUACGUGAUCUGCCUACCAUGUUAGCAACGGGUAGCGGGGAAUCAGGGUUCGAUUCCGGAGAGGGAGCAUGAGAAACGGCUACCAGU
RNAcentral lists this ribosomal RNA (369 nucleotides) under Oxygyrus sp. USNM IZ 1450316. Its description in RNAcentral is "SSU rRNA". It matches the Rfam family "Eukaryotic small subunit ribosomal RNA", at positions 51 to 414 of the family's 1831-position model. The record is from RNAcentral. Lineage: Eukaryota; Metazoa; Mollusca; Gastropoda; Littorinimorpha; Atlantidae.